This 2037-nucleotide ribosomal RNA is filed under the name Triticum aestivum (bread wheat). RNAcentral describes it as "partial small subunit ribosomal RNA". Lineage: Eukaryota; Viridiplantae; Streptophyta; Magnoliopsida; Poales; Poaceae. The record is from RNAcentral.
AAUUGGGGACCGCGCCUCUAUAGCGGAUCGGCGCGGCGGUGGUGGCAGGGCAGGGGGAUGUCCACGCGGUCGAGGUCGGUGCAGGGCUCCGUGGGUGGCGGCGGCAGCACGGCUGGGGGCUCGGCCGUGCCGCUCGCCGUGCUGCUGCGGCGGGAGGUGGUCAGCGAGAGGACCGCCGCCGAGCGCCCGGAGCUCCAGCACGGCCUCUUCAGCCAGGCCAAGAAGGGCGAGGAUUUUGUCUUCCUCAAGCCCGACUGCGAGCGUCUCCCCGGCUUCCCGUCAUCCUCCUUCUCUGCCUUCGGCCUGUUUGAUGGGCACAAUGGGAAUGGAGCCGCUAUUUAUACUAAGGAGAAUCUCUUGAACAACAUCUUGGGUGCAGUCCCUGCUGAUCUCAACAGGGAGGACUGGCUUGCUGCGCUUCCAAGGGCGAUGGUUGCAGCAUUUGUCAAAACCGAUAAAGAUUUCCAAACAGUAGCACGCUCUUCAGGAACAACAGUGACAUUUGUCAUAAUAGAUGGAUUGGUUGUUACUGUUGCAUCUGUUGGUGAUUCGCGUUGUGUAUUAGAAGCUGAAGGUUCAAUUUAUCAGUUAUCUUCGGAUCAUCGUUUCGAUGCCAGUAAAGAGGAGGUUGAUCGUGUAACAGAAGCUGGAGGUGAUGUUGGAAGGCUAAAUGUUGUUGGUGGUGCUGAGAUUGGCCCCCUUAGAUGCUGGCCCGGGGGUUUGUGCCUGUCAAGGACAAUCGGAGAUCAGGACGUGGGUGAAUUUAUCGUUCCUGUUCCUCUCGUCAAGCAAGUAAAGUUAUCUACUGCUGGAGGUCGGCUUAUUAUUUCAAGCGAUGGUGUUUGGGAUGCUUUGACUGCAGAACAGGCUCUGAACUGUUCAAGAGGACUUCCUCCUGAAGCUGCAGCUGAGCAAAUUGUUAAAGACGCAGUGCACUCAAAGGGACUGAGGGAUGACACCACUUGUAUGGUCGUUGACCUAGUACCAGAAAAAGGCAACCCAGCUAUGUCAGCUCCUAAAAAGCAACCAGGAAUGGGUGUUUUCAAAAAUAUGUUUCGCAAGAAAACAUCUUCCGACUCAUCAUCCCAUGCAGAUAGAGAAUAUAUGGAUCCAGACGUCGUAGAAGAGAUAUUUGAGGAUGAAUGUGCAUUGCUCUCUAGACGGCUGGAUUCUGAAUACCCUGUUCGAAAUAUGUUCAAACUCUUUAUAUGUGCUAUUUGUCAAGUAGAGUUAAAGCCAAAUCAAGGGAUAUCUGUACAUGAAGAUUCAUCACACUUGCGUCGAUGGGAUGGUCCGUUCCUUUGCCAAAGCUGUCAGGAAAAAAAAGAAGCCAUGGAGGGAAAGCGCCGUUCACGAGAUUCGUCAUCAAGAAAUAGCGGGUCCAGUGAAUAGUCGCCAAGGUUAAAAUUGUCUUGCUUUUAAAAAAGGGUUAUGAUACCAGAGAGCUACUGACCUCACAAUGCCUAAGCCUCCAAGAGACAAUCAUUUUGCAGCAUUUCACAUUGUUUUGGCACUUCCGUGAGCACAUGGACUGGUUGGGGUAUUUGAUCUGAGAUUGAAAUAUGAAUUGCCAUGAAGCAGGUGGUUACUGUUCAAUAGCCUAUUAUGCCAUUUGAAGUGGCAAGCAUAUACCUUGUUUUUAAUUAAAGGGACAAGCUUUUUGCUCGACAAUUUCACACAGAUCAUUUGACCUUGGUGGCAAAUACAGGCCCAAAGAUCAUUGAUUGAGAACGGCAUGCCAUGUUGACGUAUCUAUUCUUAGGUCAAACUAUAGUGUGAAUUACUGAUCACAUAUAGAGCUCCGGUCAGAAGGGCUUUGUAAUUCUCAAUAUGAGUAGGUGAGUUUCUUCUGACCGACCUUGACUUGUGGUCGAGAAAUACUCAACCCUUGUUGAAGUUCAGCUUUUCCUAACUCUUCUGUAAUUAAUUAGCAUAUAAAUAAAUUCUUUCAAACAACUGUGGCUUGAUUGAUCAGCAUGACAUUUCUGUGCUUGUUUACAAUGUACAUAAACUGGAUCAUACUUCUGGCAUUAUGGC